RNAcentral lists this ribosomal RNA (301 nucleotides) under uncultured bacterium. Its description in RNAcentral is "partial 16S ribosomal RNA". It matches the Rfam family "Bacterial small subunit ribosomal RNA", at positions 509 to 807 of the family's 1533-position model. The record is from RNAcentral.
CAGCAGCCGCGGUAAUACGUAGGUGGCAAGCGUUAUCCGGAAUUAUUGGGCGUAAAGCGCGCGUAGGUGGUUUUUUAAGUCUGAUGUGAAAGCCCACGGCUCAACCGUGGAGGGUCAUUGGAAACUGGAAAACUUGAGUGCAGAAGAGGAAAGUGGAAUUCCAUGUGUAGCGGUGAAAUGCGCAGAGAUAUGGAGGAACACCAGUGGCGAAGGCGACUUUCUGGUCUGUAACUGACGCUGAUGUGCGAAAGCGUGGGGAUCAAACAGGAUUAGAUACCCCCGUAGUCCCUGUCUCUUAUAC